AGAGUUUGAUCCUGGCUCAGAUUGAACGCUGGCGGCAUGCCUUACACAUGCAAGUCGAACGGUAACGCGGGGCAACCUGGCGACGAGUGGCGAACGGGUGAGUAAUGCAUCGGAACGUGCCCAGUAGUGGGGGAUAGCCCGGCGAAAGCCGGAUUAAUACCGCAUACGACCUACGGGUGAAAGCGGGGGACCGAAAGGCCUCGCGCUAUUGGAGCGGCCGAUGUCAGAUUAGGUAGUUGGUAGGGUAAAAGCCUACCAAGCCGACGAUCUGUAGCUGGUCUGAGAGGACGACCAGCCACACUGGGACUGAGACACGGCCCAGACUCCUACGGGAGGCAGCAGUGGGGAAUUUUGGACAAUGGGCGCAAGCCUGAUCCAGCCAUGCCGCGUGCGGGAAGAAGGCCUUCGGGUUGUAAACCGCUUUUGUCAGGGAAGAAAUGCCAUGCGCAAAUACCGUGUGGUGAUGACGGUACCUGAAGAAUAAGCACCGGCUAACUACGUGCCAGCAGCCGCGGUAAUUC
RNAcentral lists this ribosomal RNA (521 nucleotides) under uncultured bacterium. RNAcentral's name for it is "bacterial SSU rRNA". It matches the Rfam family "Bacterial small subunit ribosomal RNA", at positions 8 to 526 of the family's 1533-position model. The record is from RNAcentral.